GCUGGGCAUGGUGAUGCAUGCCUGUCAUCUCAUCUACUUGGGAGGCUGAGGUGGGAGGACCGCUUGAGCCCAGGAGGCUGAGGCCGCAGUGAGCCAUGAUCACAAUUGGGUGAUCAUGGCUCACUGCGGCCUCAGCCUCCUGGGUUCAAGUGAUCCUCCUGCUU
Molecule: small RNA, 164 nt
Filed under: Callithrix jacchus (white-tufted-ear marmoset)
Lineage: Eukaryota; Metazoa; Chordata; Mammalia; Primates; Cebidae
Description: Metazoan signal recognition particle RNA (ENSCJAG00000084024.1)
Source: RNAcentral